RNAcentral lists this ribosomal RNA (444 nucleotides) under uncultured bacterium. Its description in RNAcentral is "partial 16S ribosomal RNA". It matches the Rfam family "Bacterial small subunit ribosomal RNA", at positions 331 to 792 of the family's 1533-position model. The record is from RNAcentral.
CCAGACUCCUACGGGAGGCAGCAGUGGGGAAUAUUGCACAAUGGGGGAAACCCUGAUGCAGCGACGCCGCGUGAGCGAUGAAGUAUUUCGGUAUGUAAAGCUCUAUCAGCAGGGAAGAAAAUGACGGUACCUGACUAAGAAGCCCCGGCUAACUACGUGCCAGCAGCCGCGGUAAUACGUAGGGGGCAAGCGUUAUCCGGAUUUACUGGGUGUAAAGGGGGCGUAGACGGCGGUGCAAGCCAGAUGUGAAAGCCCGGGGCUCAACCCCGGGACUGCAUUUGGAACUAUGCUGCUAGAGUGUCGGAGAGGCAGGCGGAAUUCCUAGUGUAGCGGUGAAAUGCGUAGAUAUUAGGAGGAACACCAGUGGCGAAGGCGGCCUGCUGGACGAUGACUGACGUUGCGGCUCGAAAGCGUGGGUAUCGAACAGGAUUAGAUACCCUCGUA